UGACGGGGCCCGCACAAGCGGGUGGAGCAUGUGGUUUAAUUCGAUGAUACGCGAGGUAACCUUACCUGGGCUCAAAUGUAUGUUGACGUAUUCUGAAAGGGAUACUUCUUCGGACAAUAUACAAGGUGCUGCAUGGUUGUCGUCAGCUCGUGCCGUGAGGUGUCGGGUUAAGUCCCAUAACGAGCGCAACCCCUAUCAUUAGUUGCCAUCAGGUCAAGCUGGGGACUCUAAUGAAACUGCCUACGCAAGUAGUGAGGAAGGCGGGGAUGACGUCAAAUCAGCACGGCCCUUACGUCCAGGGCUACACACGUGCUACAAUGGCCGAUACAGAGGGCAGCUACCUGGUGACAGGAUGCAAAUCUCCAAAGUCGGUCUCAGUUCGGAUCGGAGUCUGCAACCCGACUCCGUGAAGUUGGAUUCGCUAGUAAUCGCGCAUCAGCCAUGGCGCGGUGAAUACGUUCCCGGGCCUU
Molecule: ribosomal RNA, 470 nt
Filed under: uncultured Sphingobacteriales bacterium
Lineage: Bacteria; Pseudomonadati; Bacteroidota; Sphingobacteriia; Sphingobacteriales
Description: bacterial SSU rRNA
Rfam family: Bacterial small subunit ribosomal RNA
Source: RNAcentral